CUUUGAGCACCCGAUGGCCGUGUGUGGCCAGCAGCUGCCCAUCUCCCAGCAUAACUCCAGACAGAAUUGAAUGCCCUGGAGAAAAGGGGAAACAGCACAGCAGGAGCCAAGCCUGCAGGCUGAGUCUACCAGAAAUGAAUGUCAAAUUGGAGAUGCAUUAACAACCCCCGCAGUACACUUCGCCCUGCCUUUCCCUGGGCUCUCUUGGACUCUAUGUGGAGAAGAGACACGUGGCUUAAAAGGUCACCCAAGACAUAAGUGGUAACAACCGGCAAUCCUAUAAAAUAAAAGGUGAGACAAUGGCUCUGUUCACACCCGCCAUGGGAAUCCCUUUAAGAUCAGUGUCCAUGAGCCUUACCUCGCAACUCUUCCAAGAUCAUAACCAAAGCCUGUUACAGCGGCGGAGGAUAACAGUCAGACAGGACCAAGCUGAAGGUACUCUUUAUCACCCUGACUUCAAGUAACUGUGAAGCACACCUCUCACCUGAAC
Molecule: long non-coding RNA, 490 nt
Filed under: Homo sapiens (human)
Lineage: Eukaryota; Metazoa; Chordata; Mammalia; Primates; Hominidae
Description: non-protein coding lnc-IRX4-3:1
Source: RNAcentral